RNAcentral lists this unclassified non-coding RNA (314 nucleotides) under Hevea brasiliensis (rubber tree). The record is from RNAcentral. Lineage: Eukaryota; Viridiplantae; Streptophyta; Magnoliopsida; Malpighiales; Euphorbiaceae.
AGGAAGAGGAGGAAGAAGAGGAAGUGGCAUUGCUAGUUUGCCAAAAGGGCAUCUUACAAAGAGUCCAAACCUUCCUUUCACUCUCUUGUUUCUCUCCAUUAAGAUCCAUAUUCCCUUGAGUUUUAAAAAGAUGAAAUUUGUUUGUGUUUUAAAAUAGAUUUUCUUUUUUGAUUUUUGUGUUUGAAAGAGGUGUGCUGUGGUGGUGAAAGUGAAAGAUGCCAUACACAGGCAACGUAUGUAGUGUGCGUUGGAUCUCAAAGUACGGUAUUUCGGUGGAUUUCAUUGGUCUAUUUGAGGUCCGCUCAUGCUUGGAU